UUGAGAUUUCAGUAAUUUUGCAAUUCACAUUACGAAUGCAUUUGUGCGUCUUCAUGAUGAGAGCCAAGAAUCCGUGUGAAGUUGUAUGAUGCAUAUAGAGUCAUUUCUACACUUUAAAGGGGGUUUGUGAAAACGAGCCCCCCUCCGAGAUGAUCCCAAAAGGUGCCCACGCGUGAUGCACAAAGGUGAGACGAUUAUUAUGUGAGGGACACACCCGGGCGUGCACGACUUGAAGUCAGGAUCAGCCCGCAUGCCCCUCAUAGUAGUAAGAAUAAUUAACAAGCUUCCGUAGGGGUGACCUGCGGAAGGAUCAUUAUCGUACAAAAUGUGAGGGGCAUGCCAGGGCUGUCGCUGACUUCAAAGUCGUGCACGCCCGGGUGUGUCCCCUCACAUAAUAAUCCGUCUCACCCUUUGUGCAUCACCGCGUGGGCACCCUUUGGGAUCAUCUCGGAGGGGGCUCGCGUUUUCACACAAACCCCCCCUUUUAAAAGUGUAGAAUGACCUCAUAUAUGCAAUCAAUACAACUUUCAACAACGGAUCUCUUGGCUCUCGCAUCGAUGAAGAACGCAGCGAAAUGCGAUACGUAAUGUGAAUUGCAGAAUUCAGUGAAUCAUCGAAUCUUUGAACGCACCUUGCGCCCCUUGGUAUUCCGAGGGGCACACCCGUUUGAGUGUCGUGAAAACCUCAACCUCCUUGGUUUCUUCUGGAGACCAAAGCAGGCUUGGACUUUGGAGGCCUUUGCCGGUGCCUCUCUCUUUUGAAGUGCCAGCUCCUCUUAAACAAAUUAGCAGGGUCCUCUUUGCUGAUCCUUGACGUGUGAUAAGAUGUUUCCAUGUCUUGGUUUCUGGCUCUGUCACCUUUUGGGACCCGCUUCUAACCGUCUGGCCCUUGUGUCGAGACAAUGUUCGAGCAUGAUGUCUCCCUUCUUGGGAAGCUCCCUCGACCCCACGAACCCUUGACCUCAAAUCGGGGAGACUACCCGGAGCU
This 987-nucleotide ribosomal RNA is filed under the name uncultured Lactarius. Its description in RNAcentral is "eukaryotic LSU rRNA". The stretch from base 523 to 676 matches the Rfam family "5.8S ribosomal RNA". The record is from RNAcentral. Lineage: Eukaryota; Fungi; Basidiomycota; Agaricomycetes; Russulales; Russulaceae.